Molecule: transfer RNA, 98 nt
Filed under: Stereum hirsutum FP-91666 SS1
Lineage: Eukaryota; Fungi; Basidiomycota; Agaricomycetes; Russulales; Stereaceae
Rfam family: tRNA
About the family: Transfer RNA (tRNA) molecules are approximately 80 nucleotides in length.
Source: Rfam by way of RNAcentral
AGCUCGAUAGCGCAACGGUAGCGCGUCUGUUCUCUAUUGUGGAUCGGAGUGGACCUAAUGGUUGAUGGAAGAUCUCGGUUCGACUCUGAGUCGAGCUA